GACGUAGGGUGCGAGCGUUGUCCGGAUUUAUUGGGCGUAAAGAGCUCGUAGGCGGCUUGUCGCGUCGGCUGUGAAAACCCGCAGCUUAACUGUGGGCUUGCAGCUGAUACGGGCGGGCUAGAGUUCGGUAGGGGAGACUGGAAUUCCUGGUGUAGCGGUGAAAUGCGCAGAUAUCAGGAGGAACACCGGUGGCGAAGGCGGGUCUCUGGGCCGAUACUGACGCUGAGGAGCGAAAGCGUGGGGAGCAAACAGG
Molecule: ribosomal RNA, 253 nt
Filed under: uncultured bacterium
Lineage: Bacteria
Description: partial 16S ribosomal RNA
Rfam family: Bacterial small subunit ribosomal RNA
Source: RNAcentral